Molecule: ribosomal RNA, 465 nt
Filed under: Vreelandella stevensii
Lineage: Bacteria; Pseudomonadati; Pseudomonadota; Gammaproteobacteria; Oceanospirillales; Halomonadaceae
Description: partial 16S ribosomal RNA
Rfam family: Bacterial small subunit ribosomal RNA
Source: RNAcentral
CCUACGGGUGGCUGCAGUGGGGAAUAUUGGACAAUGGGGGCAACCCUGAUCCAGCCAUGCCGCGUGUGUGAAGAAGGCCCUCGGGUUGUAAAGCACUUUCAGUGAGGAAGAACGCCUGGUGGUUAAUACCCAUCAGGAAAGACAUCACUCACAGAAGAAGCACCGGCUAACUCCGUGCCAGCAGCCGCGGUAAUACGGAGGGUGCGCGCGUUAAUCGGAAUUACUGGGCGUAAAGCGCGCGUAGGUGGCUUGAUAAGCCGGUUGUGAAAGCCCCGGGCUCAACCUGGGAACGGCAUCCGGAACUGUCAAGCUAGAGUGCAGGAGAGGAAGGUAGAAUUCCCGGUGUAGCGGUGAAAUGCGUAGAGAUCGGGAGGAAUACCAGUGGCGAAGGCGGCCUUCUGGACUGACACUGACACUGAGGUGCGAAAGCGUGGGUAGCAAACAGGAUUAGAUACCCGAGUAGUC